RNAcentral lists this ribosomal RNA (541 nucleotides) under Bacillus anthracis str. A0193. RNAcentral's name for it is "SSU rRNA". It matches the Rfam family "Bacterial small subunit ribosomal RNA", at positions 26 to 547 of the family's 1533-position model. RNAcentral also lists the same sequence under 1 other name. Lineage: Bacteria; Bacillati; Bacillota; Bacilli; Caryophanales; Bacillaceae. The record is from RNAcentral.
AGGAUGAACGCUGGCGGCGUGCCUAAUACAUGCAAGUCGAGCGAAUGGAUUAAGAGCUUGCUCUUAUGAAGUUAGCGGCGGACGGGUGAGUAACACGUGGGUAACCUGCCCAUAAGACUGGGAUAACUCCGGGAAACCGGGGCUAAUACCGGAUAACAUUUUGAACCGCAUGGUUCGAAAUUGAAAGGCGGCUUCGGCUGUCACUUAUGGAUGGACCCGCGUCGCAUUAGCUAGUUGGUGAGGUAACGGCUCACCAAGGCAACGAUGCGUAGCCGACCUGAGAGGGUGAUCGGCCACACUGGGACUGAGACACGGCCCAGACUCCUACGGGAGGCAGCAGUAGGGAAUCUUCCGCAAUGGACGAAAGUCUGACGGAGCAACGCCGCGUGAGUGAUGAAGGCUUUCGGGUCGUAAAACUCUGUUGUUAGGGAAGAACAAGUGCUAGUUGAAUAAGCUGGCACCUUGACGGUACCUAACCAGAAAGCCACGGCUAACUACGUGCCAGCAGCCGCGGUAAUACGUAGGUGGCAAGCGUUAUCCG